AGAGACAGCAGUAGCCGCGGUAAAACGUAGGGUGCAAGCGUUAAUCGGAAUUACUGGGCGUAAAGCGUGCGCAGGCGGUUAUAUAAGACAGAUGUGAAAUCCCCGGGCUCAACCUGGGAACUGCAUUUGUGACUGUAUAGCUAGAGUACGGCAGAGGGGGAUGGAAUUCCGCGUGUAGCAGUGAAAUGCGUAGAUAUGCGGAGGAACACCGAUGGCGAAGGCAAUCCCCUGGGCCUGUACUGACGCUCAUGCACGAAAGCGUGGGGAGCAAACAGGAUUAGAGACCCCAGUAGUCCCUGUCUCUUAUAC
Molecule: ribosomal RNA, 309 nt
Filed under: uncultured bacterium
Lineage: Bacteria
Description: partial 16S ribosomal RNA
Rfam family: Bacterial small subunit ribosomal RNA
Source: RNAcentral